UGCAGUUAAAGCUCGUAGUUGGAUUUUGGUUAAGAGGGCGCGGUCGGCCGUUUGGUCUGUACUGCGUUGUCUUGACUUCCUGAUGAGGACAUGCUCUUGGUUAACGCUGAGACAUGGAGUCAUCGUGGUUACUUUGAAAAAAUUAGAGUGUUCAAAGCGGGCUUACGCUUGAAUAUAUUAGCAUGGAAUAACACUAUAGGACUCCUGUCCUAUCUCGUUGGUCUCGGGAUGGGAGUAAUGAUUAAGAGGAACAGUUGGGGGCAUUCGUAUUUCAUUGUCAGAGGUGAAAUUCUUGGAUUUAUGAAAGACGAACUUCUGCGAAAGCAUUUGCCAAGGAUGUUUUCAUUAAUCAAGAACGAAAGUUGGGGGCUCGAAGUAGUAAAAAAUACCAUCCUAGCCCAACCAAAAAAACCCACGCGCAGGGGGGGGGGGGGAAAAAGAGCCCCCCCCCCCUUAAAAAAAAUUUUGGGUGCCAGUUUUGGGUUUGGGUUCCGGGGGGGAGAAUGGGUCCCAGGGCUAAAACUUUAAAGGGAAUUGACGCGAGGAGGGCACCACCAGGCCGUGGGAGCCCUGCGGCUUAAUUUGACUCAACACGGGGAAACUUACCAGGUCC
RNAcentral lists this ribosomal RNA (613 nucleotides) under uncultured prasinophyte. RNAcentral describes it as "partial 18S ribosomal RNA". It matches the Rfam family "Eukaryotic small subunit ribosomal RNA", at positions 614 to 1225 of the family's 1831-position model. Lineage: Eukaryota; Viridiplantae; Chlorophyta. The record is from RNAcentral.